AUUGAACGCUGGCGGCAUGCCUUACACAUGCAAGUCGAACGGCAGCACGGGUGCUUGCACAUGGUGGCGAGUGGCGAACGGGUGAGUAAUACAUCGGAACGUACCUUAUCGUGGGGGAUAACGCAGCGAAAGCUGUGCUAAUACCGCAUACGCCCUGAGGGGGAAAGCGGGGGAUCGCAAGACCUCGCGCGAUUAGAGCGGCCGAUGCCUGAUUAGCUAGUUGGUGGGGUAAAAGCCCACCAAGGCGACGAUCAGUAGCUGGUCUGAGAGGACGAUCAGCGACACUGGGACUGAGACACGGCCCAGACUCCUACGGGAGGCAGCGGUGGGGAAUUUUGGACAAUGGGGGCAACCCUGAUCCAGCAAUGCCGCGUGAGUGAAGAAGGCCUUCGGGUUGUAAAGCUCUUUUGUCAGGGAAGAAACACCAGCUCUAACACAGUCCGGGAACGACGGUACCUGAAGAAUAAGCACCGGCUAACUACGUGCCAGCCGCCGCAGUAA
Molecule: ribosomal RNA, 501 nt
Filed under: uncultured bacterium
Lineage: Bacteria
Description: partial 16S ribosomal RNA
Rfam family: Bacterial small subunit ribosomal RNA
Source: RNAcentral